GAGAGCGCGCCGGGCGGGCGCGGGCGCGGGCUCGCCUCCCCCCGGGCUCCGCGGACCAGGUAAAUAUUAAAUAAGAGGACUCGGCACGUGGUGGUUUAAUGGAUGCGGAUCAAGAGUCAAGACGCCAAGCCAAGAAAGAAUUUGAUCCUGGAGCCUGGGAGGAUUAUGCAUUGUGGAAAACCCAGAAUGAGAGCUGAUUCUGGAGGAGAGAGGAGGACUGGUGGCUGACCUGGGACAGGCAGGGCGACGUGUCCACGCGGUCCCAGGGACGACGCCUGGGCCGAUUCAGGGAUGUCGCCAAGAGGCAGAGUCUGGCUCCGUUCGAGGAAGAACUGUGCACUGAUUGCUGAUAUUCUAACCACGAAGGAGGCAAUAAAGGAGUUUCCGUCCCCAGAGGAGGCCUCGAGCAGAGGGUGGACUUGCUGAAGAUGCUGCAAGAAGGGACCCAGGCUCCAGCAUCCAGUCGCCCCGUCCGCCCCCCGAAUUAGAUGAAUCAGAGGUGGUGACGGCAUGGCAGCGAGUCUCCUCCCGGCUGCCCCCUCUGGCCAGUUUUGAACGUCGGCCUGCAGCGGCGCAUCGAGAGGGAUUUCCAAGCCAAGUCUGGAUUCCCCAGAAGAGACUGUGAUCGAUUACUGAUGUCUGCUGUGGGCAAGCCAUGGGAGCCUGGCCGCUCCCCAGGUGCAGCCUUACCGACCGGGCCCCUGGGUUCUCGUCCUGGCUGCUCCCUGGAGGAAUCGACUUCCCCUUUUGAGCUUGCCACCCGGUCGGGAUGACACAGGUGCCAUCUGACCCGGGUCAUCAUAGGGAAGAGGCGAGAGAAGGUGAGGCGAAACCUGCCCUUUGUCCGGGGGGUGAUAGGUACACUUAGGUGACACAGUUGGUGGGACAGGUACGUUGCCCCGUUUCGGGGGUGGGGAGCAGGGGUGGAUGACUUGUAGUAGAGGCAUCGGCCUCGCCAGGCAGGCCUGCACGGCGGACGGGUUGCUCUUCUCUCUGCCCCUGCAGCAUCUUGGCUCCCUCCCGCCACCCCCGCGUCGAUGCCCCAAGCACGCUGCAACAAGCCCCGCUGGCCUGGCUCCACGGCUGGGUGUGAAAUUUGGCUGAGUCGGCACCUGGGAGAAUUGGGGCAAUUGCCAUCCUGGAGCCCGGGGCCUGGCCCGGGGCCAAAGGGCAGACUAGAGGUGGUGGGAGGGAGGGCCCGAGUGCCAGGGAGCCAAGCAGGGCUGGGCGGCUGGCAGGGGUGUGUCAGGAGAGCACCUGGCUUGAAGCUGGCCGGCCUGAGGGUGCUGAGAGCCCCAGGCCUGAGCUCGGAACAGCGCCCAGCUGUGUACGUGUGCCUGGCCAUUGGCCGUGCCCGAGCACGUCCUCGAGUGUGCCCUUGUGCGUGUGCAUUCGCCUCCUCUGGGAACGUGUGUUCUGGUAAAUGUGCGGCUGUGCAUCAAUAUCGGUAUAAGAACAGGCAUGUCUGUGUAGUCGUGCACACCUGUCCGUGUGUGCAUAGCUGGGUGUGUGCCUGCACAUCUGCGUGGGGGUGAACUCGGGUGCACACAUCUGUCAGUAUCCAGGUACGUGUGUCUAGGCAUUUCUUUUUUUUUUUUUUUAAGAUUUUAUUUAUUCAUGAGAGACACACAGAGAGGCAGAGACACAGGCAGAGGGAGAAGCAGGCUUUUGUGGGACUCGAUCCUGGGACCCCGAGAUCAUGUCCUGAGCCAAAGCCAGAUGCUCACCUACCGAGCCACCCAGGUGCCCCGCGUGUGUCUAGGCAUUUCUGCCUGUAUGCACAGGUGUCCUUUCAAUCUCUGUCCCGGCGUGUGCCUCCUGGUGCGUCCACACGGGUGCAUGCCUGCCCACCUCUGUCGGUAUCCAUGGACGUGGCUCCACGCCCUUCUGUUGGCACUGAGGCGCGCAUCACUGUCAGCACGUCUGUCCUCUCCAGGGCCUCUGUCUGGGUGUCCCUGGAUGUCGUAUCUGUUAAGUCUGCCCCGUACGUGCAUUAGCGAGUGCUUCUGGGGCUGUGCCCAUCGCCUGGUGCAUUUCUGGGGGUGCACCUCUACCUGCGAGGGUGUUGGGAUCUACCUCCGCCUGCAGGCGUGGCUGCAUCAAGGUGAGCAUGAUGGACUCUCAGAUGUGGCUGCCAUAGCUCCCUUUUUCUGUCUCCAUCCUUCUUUCCUUUCCUCCUUCCUUCCCUUCUUGCAACUCCCUCUUGCAGAGCCGGCCCAGGCUGCGGUGGCGGUGACAGAUGAGCCUCGGAAGCCCGCUUCAGCCUCUGGAGGGGGGCUCCCUACGUUCCUCUCCCACGUGGACUCGGCCCCAGAGCCCCAGAGGCUCCCGGCUUUCUUAACGCGAGCUGUUGCCUCGCCCGCUGCAGGUGAGUCCUCACCCCAGCGGCAGCGAGAACCCGGGUCGCCUCCUCCUUCCCCUCGUGGCGCCCCUCCCAGCCCUCCUACCUGCUGGCGGGUAGCCUUUCCACCUGCUGGGACAGCUGCCGGCUUGGACUUCAGGGCACGUGUGCCCCUGCUCAGCGGUCUGUGUCUCGACGGUCCCUCUGCCAUCUCUGGAACGUUCCUGGGAUUUGACUGGGGGCUACUCCGCUCUUGCCCUGGCGAGACCGCCCUGCCCAGGUCCCUGGCUCAGUCCCGGGCCACUUCACUGGGAUGUGGAUCCCCGCACGGGCCGGCGGCUGUGCAGGGACGGGGUUCGGGGUCGGGGGUGGGGUGGGGGGCUUCCCUGUCUGCCCCGGGCUCCCAGGCCCUGGACCAGGACUGUGGUGGGUGGAUCAUUCCAGGGCCUCCGCUCUUCUCUUGCCAUCACCAUAUGCCUCCCCCUCCCCUUGCCAUCUCUUCCCUUCCCUGAUGGUUUUGAAUGGAAUGUCAAAUAAAAUAAAAAAAUUGAUUAAAAG
This 2899-nucleotide long non-coding RNA is filed under the name Canis lupus familiaris (dog). Its description in RNAcentral is "lncRNA (ENSCAFG00845030208.1)". Lineage: Eukaryota; Metazoa; Chordata; Mammalia; Carnivora; Canidae. The record is from RNAcentral.